Molecule: ribosomal RNA, 253 nt
Filed under: uncultured bacterium
Lineage: Bacteria
Description: partial 16S ribosomal RNA
Rfam family: Bacterial small subunit ribosomal RNA
Source: RNAcentral
UACGUAGGGGGCAAGCGUUGUCCGGAAUCAUUGGGCGUAAAGCGCGUGUAGGCGGUCCGGUAAGUCCGUUGUGAAAGUCCAGGGCUCAACCCUGGGAUGCCGGCGGAUACUGCCGGGCUAGAGUCCGGAAGAGGCGAGUGGAAUUCCCGGUGUAGCGGUGAAAUGCGCAGAUAUCGGGAGGAACACCUAUGGCGAAGGCAGCUCGCUGGGACGGUACUGACGCUGAGACGCGAAAGCGUGGGGAGCAAACAGG